CAAACAGGGCGCAAUUGAAGGCUUCGCGCGAAGGGAAGGAUCUAACACGAAAAUUCCCCAUUUUGAAUGGAAAUGCGCAGAUCCGGCCUACUAAACGAGCUGAUGCGCUGACCUUCCUCAUUAUAAAUGGCGUCGUUUUGUUAAUAGGUUUUGUAAAAUCUUUUUUUUCCUAUUCCUUUUCCAAACGCAGCCCACAUUUUGGCCAGAAUUCACAACCCUAAAAUCGAUUUGUUAGGGCUCAUUCCAGCAACCACCAAAUCCACCAUUUCCUUUGGUGAUCGGUGGUGCACCAUCGAUGCCUAGAAGACGUCAAAGACCCUGCUCAAGGAGAACAGGGGUGGAGAAACGGCCGUACGGAAAAAGCCACUCGUGGAAGCCGUGCAUGGGAAAACCCCUCGUGAAAGCUCGAUUGCAGUACUAGCAUGUUCUAGAAACCCUUAGGUUUCUGUAUUUUCAAGUUGUUGGGCCUUUUGGGCCGUUUGUGAGUUGGGCUAUGGGACCUUGGGAUUUUGGGUGUAAGUUUAUUAGGUUAAAUAUUUGAGCCUUUAUUUUUGGAUUAAAUAAAUUAUAAAUAUAUUUUUUUGGACCAGUA
Molecule: long non-coding RNA, 592 nt
Organism: Gossypium arboreum
Lineage: Eukaryota; Viridiplantae; Streptophyta; Magnoliopsida; Malvales; Malvaceae
Exons: 2
Source: RefSeq, a predicted model, not a curated record